RNAcentral lists this ribosomal RNA (495 nucleotides) under Triticum aestivum (bread wheat). Its description in RNAcentral is "partial small subunit ribosomal RNA". Lineage: Eukaryota; Viridiplantae; Streptophyta; Magnoliopsida; Poales; Poaceae. The record is from RNAcentral.
AUGAAUGUGGUGGUGAAGAUCAAGAGACGCAUUGCGUUGCACCCUUUCUCAUCUAAGAAGAAUCUUUUUAUAAUAAAAAUAAUAACAUCCAACAAAAGAAAUGGAAGAACGUGGUACAAUUAUUCUCCUAUCUUCUCCAAGCUGUUGGCUAACCGACUAGCCCCUCUUCUUCCGUCGCUGGUUUCUAAGUGCCAGAGUGCCUUUGUGCAGAAACGGUGCAUCCACAAUAAUUUCCUACAUGUGCAAAACUUGAUCAAAGAAUUGCACCGCUCUUCAACGCCAGGCCUUUUCCUCAAGCUCGACAUCUCCAAGGCUUUCGACUUUGUGGGUUGGGCUUACCUCCUGGAGGUGCUGCAACAGUUGGGAUUUGGGCAGCGCUGGCGGGAAUGGAUCUGCAUGACCCUCGCUUCAUCUUCCUCUAGGGUGCUGUUAAAUGGGGAGCCGGGAACCCCAUUCGUACAUGGAAAAGGCCUUCGCCAGGCCGACCCGGUGUCA